Long non-coding RNA from Saccostrea echinata, 1027 nucleotides. RefSeq lists it as uncharacterized. Lineage: Eukaryota; Metazoa; Mollusca; Bivalvia; Ostreida; Ostreidae. The transcript has 3 exons. The record is from RefSeq and is a predicted model, not a curated record.
AUAUGAAAUGAUGGUUGGAUGUUUGCUUUACGUCCCUUCAAAAUCUUCUCACUCAUGUUGGGAUGUGGAAGGGAACAAAUUUAAUCUGUAAUCGGCACUAAUGGCAUUGAGCAUUAAAGGAUCUAUUGCGUCAUGUGACCUCGAUUGAUAUAUUUCAUCAGAAGGACCGUCUUGUGAAAUGAUGAUUUAUAAAGUAAACUUGUACAAGGUUUCAGCACUGAAAGAUAGAACAACGUUUGGCGCCCUUGGUAUAUCAUCUGUUCAUCAUUAUUAAAAAAAGGCCAACAUUUCUUCCUUGGAGAGCUGAGGAACGAUUUUAGUCAGGAAAAACAUUAUGCACGUGCGCAUUACAUGUACUAUCAAGGAAACAAACUUAUUUACUUCACGCUUAAGCGCCGAUUGACUACUGGCUCUCUUGAGGAUGGUUGUGAAAAAAUCUUCAUUAUUCCAAAACGUACCUAGUACGAUGCAGUAUUCAGUGCUUAUUUAGCAACCAUGUCAUUAUAUUCAAGGAAUAAUUGUGGGGCUACUCGACGAAUUUUAAGGAUUACGUGGGAAUUUUUUUUUUUAAAAGACACAUGCAGUAAUACAUGAUAUAUGUAACAGGGAUACCCAAUGAAAAGGAAGGAAACAAAACAGUUUAGAUUCCAGAAUAAGAAUUGUGGUUUAAUCUGGAGUCGAUGUGAUCGCAUUGCCAUGAUUGUACGUCUCGUCGUCAUUGACGAAUUUCAAGGUCUACAAAAUGUCAGGAGGAGAAACAUAUCGGUACAGAUAACCGAAUGAGGAUGGAUUCUGAUGAUGUAAAGAGAAAAAGUUAAACGGACAUCACAAGGAAGCGGUGUAAAACAAGUCCCCGAAGAUAUGAAUGGUGUUGUCGGCUCUACUGCAAUACAGAACUUGACAGUUUUGAAAAUCAUUGUCGAAAUCAUUUCAGGAACAUCAAUGAUUUUGAUGAGACAUUUUAUUUUUUUUUACUUUCCUUUAAUCUGUACAGUGUUUUAAUGUUAUAUUCAACUUCUGGUGUAAA